AUGACGUCAAGUCCUCAUGGCCUUUAUGACCAGGGCUACACACGUACUACAAUGGCCGGUACAAAGGGCAGCGACACAGCGAUGUGAAGCGAAUCCCGAAAAGCCGGUCUCAGUCCGGAUUGGAGUCUGCAACUCGACUCCAUGAAGUUGGAAUCGCUAGUAAUCGCGGAUCAGCACGCCGCGGUGAAUACGUUCCCGGGCCUU
Molecule: ribosomal RNA, 204 nt
Filed under: uncultured Desulfocapsa sp.
Lineage: Bacteria; Pseudomonadati; Thermodesulfobacteriota; Desulfobulbia; Desulfobulbales; Desulfocapsaceae
Description: partial 16S ribosomal RNA
Rfam family: Bacterial small subunit ribosomal RNA
Source: RNAcentral